AUUGAACGCUGGCGGCAUGCCUUACACAUGCAAGUCGAACGGCAGCGGGGACUUCGGUCCGCCGGCGAGUGGCGAACGGGUGAGUAAUGCAUCGGAACGUACCCGGAAGUGGGGGAUAACGUAGCGAAAGUUACGCUAAUACCGCAUAUUCUGUGAGCAGGAAAGAGGGGGAUCUUCGGACCUCUUGCUUUCGGAGCGGCCGAUGUCAGAUUAGCUAGUUGGUGAGGUAAAGGCUCACCAAGGCGACGAUCUGUAGCGGGUCUGAGAGGAUGGUCCGCCACACUGGAACUGAGACACGGUCCAGACUCCUACGGGAGGCAGCAGUGGGGAAUUUUGGACAAUGGGCGCAAGCCGGAUCCAGCCAUGCCGCGUGAGUGAAGAAGGCCUUCGGGUUGUAAAGCUCUUUCGGCCGGGAAGAAAUCGCAUGGAUUAAUACUCUGUGCGGAUGACGGUACCGGCAUAAGAAGCACCGGCUAACUACGUGCCAGCAGCCGCAGUAA
This 500-nucleotide ribosomal RNA is filed under the name uncultured bacterium. RNAcentral describes it as "partial 16S ribosomal RNA". It matches the Rfam family "Bacterial small subunit ribosomal RNA", at positions 30 to 523 of the family's 1533-position model. The record is from RNAcentral.